GUGUUACUGCGACAGAAUGGUCACUCAGUUAAUGAAGAGCUGAAAAGACCGGGGGAGGAAAUGGAAGACAGUACUGCACUGUAGCAUAUUCAACACUGUGACGCACUGUGAACACAAUACAGCUGAAGAGGAAGAAAGACAGAUGACUUUUGACUGCCGCCUCCUCUCUCUUCCUCCCUCUGUCGAAGGGCAGACAUCAGUGUGUUCCGCAGUGAGCAAGCUGGUGAGCCACGACCCGGUCAUCUUUGCGAGGGCGUUUGUGCCACUCACCCUCGCCAGCUCCCUCGAGGGGGAAACCCUCACGGUGCUGUUCCAGAUCAAGAUAACGUUCCUUCAUCUCACUGAGCUCCCAGAUUUGAAGGAGACAGUGAUCUGGAGAGUAUCCGAUCUGGAACCCCUCCACCGGCCAUCCCCAAGUCAAUCCCACCACCAUCCGUGGCUUACCCAAGCCCGGCGCCGGUUCAUAUGCAAGCCAAAAGGACAUUAAUGUGCCAAGCCCAACAAACAUUAAUGCGGCAAGCCUGUCAGCCCCAAAACUUACUCCAGUGCACGCUCCUCCAGAGCUCACUCCAAUGUUGGUCCAGGCCCCAGAGUUUGCUCCAGUGUUGGCCCAGAACACAUCUUUUCUCUCGGAUCCAGAAGAGGAAAUUAGGGGUGAGGAGAAGGGUGUCAGCCCAGGCGCCAGAGUUUGCUCCAGUAUCAACCCAGCCCCAGCACGUAGUCCAUGUAGGGCUCCCGAUCCACAGUUAAGCCCAGGAUGGUCUCCUGUUCAUGAGUUAAGCCCAGGGAGGGCUCCUGAUCCCCUUUCAAGCCCAGCAAGUGGUCCAGGCCUUGAGUACAGCCGCGUAAAUUUCCCCAAGUAUUUGUUUUUGGUGGGGGAAUAGUAAGGUUCCAGCCGUAGAGGCUAAGGUGGGGGCUGGGGUAGGGGCCUUGUAGGCUGCUCUGCCAUGUCCUCCUGAGUCCCCUGCUCCACCAUGGCACCCUGAAUGGGGCCACUGUCCUUUGUCUGUCCUGAAGGACCUUCAGAGCACCUACCCAGGUGUUCCUCAUCCUCACCUCAUCAAGUCCUGUAUAGAUGUUCCCUGUUCUAUGUUUCUUCAUCGGCUGUUAAUACAUCUUUGGAUUAAAAUU
Molecule: long non-coding RNA, 1131 nt
Organism: Carassius gibelio (silver crucian carp)
Lineage: Eukaryota; Metazoa; Chordata; Actinopteri; Cypriniformes; Cyprinidae
Exons: 3
Source: RefSeq, a predicted model, not a curated record